AAGUCGUAACAAGGUAACCGUAGGUGAACCUGCGGUUGGAUCAUUAGAAAUAUUUUAAGUGUGAUGAAUUUAGCCCUAAAUAGGCUAGGGUCAAGGCCUUCGGCCUUGAGCCUAGCGUAAUAUGGGGAGUUCGUCAGCUUAUUUCACAACUUGUGCACUGUAAUUGUUUUUGGGCGGUUAAUUAAACCGAAUCGCCCGCCAGUUUAACCAAACUUCUAAAUUUUUGACUGAGUUUAUUUUUAAAUUAUAAACAACUUUAGACAACGGAUCUCUUGGCUCUC
Molecule: unclassified non-coding RNA, 281 nt
Filed under: fungal sp.
Lineage: Eukaryota; Fungi
Description: partial internal transcribed spacer region
Rfam family: Eukaryotic small subunit ribosomal RNA (bases 1-46)
Source: RNAcentral